This 491-nucleotide ribosomal RNA is filed under the name uncultured bacterium. Its description in RNAcentral is "partial 16S ribosomal RNA". It matches the Rfam family "Bacterial small subunit ribosomal RNA", at positions 29 to 506 of the family's 1533-position model. The record is from RNAcentral.
AGUGAACGCUGGCGGUAGGCCUAACACAUGCAAGUCGAACGGCAGCACAGUAAGAGCUUGCUCUUACGGGUGGCGAGUGGCGGACGGGUGAGGAAUACAUCGGAAUCUACUUUUUCGUGGGGGAUAACGUAGGGAAACUUACGCUAAUACCGCAUACGACCUACGGGUGAAAGCAGGGGAUCUUCGGACCUUGCGCGAUUGAAUGAGCCGAUGUCGGAUUAGCUAGUUGGCGGGGGAAAGGCCCACCAAGGCGACGAUCCGUAGCUGGUCUGAGAGGAUGAUCAGCCACACUGGAACUGAGACACGGUCCAGACUCCUACGGGAGGCAGCAGUGGGGAAUAUUGGACAAUGGGCGCAAGCCUGAUCCAGCCAUACCGCGUGGGUGAAGAAGGCCUUCGGGUUGUAAAGCCCUUUUGUUGGGAAAGAAAAGCAGCAGGUUAAUACCCCGCUGUUCUGACGGUACCCAAAGAAUAAGCACCGGCUAACUUCGU